RNAcentral lists this ribosomal RNA (465 nucleotides) under uncultured bacterium. Its description in RNAcentral is "partial 16S ribosomal RNA". It matches the Rfam family "Bacterial small subunit ribosomal RNA", at positions 28 to 507 of the family's 1533-position model. The record is from RNAcentral.
GACGAACGCUGGCGGCGUGCUUAACACAUGCAAGUCGAACGGAAAGGCCCUGCUUGCAGGGUACUCGAGUGGCGAACGGGUGAGUAACACGUGGGUGAUCUGCCCUGCACUUCGGGAUAAGCCUGGGAAACUGGGUCUAAUACCGGAUAGGAGCCAUUUUUAGUGUGAUGGUUGGAAAGUUUUUUCGGUGUAGGGUGAGCUCGCGGCCUAUCAGCUUGUUGGUGGGGUAAUGGCCUACCAAGGCGGCGACGGGUAGCCGGCCUGAGAGGGUGGACGGCCACAUUGGGACUGAGAGACGGCCCAGACUCCUACGGGAGGCAGCAGUGGGGAAUAUUGCACAAUGGGCGCAAGCCUGAUGCAGCGACGCCGCGUGGGGGAUGACGGCCUUCGGGUUGUAAACUCCUUUCGCUGGGGACGAAGCUUUUUGUGACGGUACCUAGAUAAGAAGCACCGGCUAACUACGUG